This 270-nucleotide long non-coding RNA is filed under the name Gossypium barbadense (sea-island cotton). RNAcentral describes it as "long non-coding RNA (GBAR_LNC002367)". The record is from RNAcentral. Lineage: Eukaryota; Viridiplantae; Streptophyta; Magnoliopsida; Malvales; Malvaceae.
GAAAAUAAGGACCAAAUCGAAUAAAUUGCAAAACUUGGAUUCUAGAAGCAAUUUGUAUGAAAUUGCUUUGGAUUAUUAAUUAGAAUGUCUUAAAGAGAAAUUUUCCCAAUUUCUAAGUUUUUGGACAAAAAUGGGCAUGUGUGGAUGAAAUUUUAAAGAAAGGGCUUAAGGGUAUUUUGGUCAUUUGGCUAAUUAAUGAAAUAAAAUGAAAAAAUGAAGGAAAAAAUCAGCCAUUCUUCUCCCUCAUCUAGUCAAAAUUCUCAAGCCCUC